Long non-coding RNA from Rhipicephalus sanguineus (brown dog tick), 276 nucleotides. RefSeq lists it as uncharacterized. The record is from RefSeq and is a predicted model, not a curated record. The transcript has 3 exons. Lineage: Eukaryota; Metazoa; Arthropoda; Arachnida; Ixodida; Ixodidae.
UUAUGUCCGCACUGGUGACGCCCCUGAUGAGUAUUUGUUCAAGGACAAAAAUGGUAACAAGCCUCUUCAAACUGGUAGAUACAUCUAUUCGGACUACAAGGAUUGCCUGAUUUUAGAAAUGCCUUACGGGAACUCGCAAGAAUGCAUGUUAUGGAUAUCUUGGGGAGUAAAGGACAACAUACCGAAAAUCUGCACAGAUCAAUACGAAGACAACUGCGAAGACUCAAAGCUCUCAUACGACGAAGCUACAUGCAGCCCCUUCUUUCAGCAAACUAA